Molecule: transfer RNA, 81 nt
Filed under: Diddensiella santjacobensis
Lineage: Eukaryota; Fungi; Ascomycota; Dipodascomycetes; Dipodascales; Trichomonascaceae
Description: tRNA-Ser
Rfam family: tRNA
About the family: Transfer RNA (tRNA) molecules are approximately 80 nucleotides in length. Their secondary structure includes four short double-helical elements and three loops (D, anti-codon, and T loops).
Source: RNAcentral
GGAUAUAUCGUCAUAGGUAUGACAAACUAUUUGCUAUAUAGUAGGUAUUAUACCUUAUGAGUUCGAAUCUCAUUGUAUCCG